CAUGAGUGAAGACACAAACUGGGUUCUGCCAAAGUUCCUGUUCUAAUAACUGCCAUGCCCAGAAUGUCUGCUCAGGGGACAAUCUGCUGAGCCCUCUCUUGAGUCCUGCUGAUGACAAGCAAUUCUGACAUAUCACAGUCCUAUUAGCCAGCAGGCGACACCUCAGACCUCUAGCCACCCCACGCUGGAUUUCUCAAGCUUUUCUGUGCCUGCGAGAGCAAGUUGCCACAGAGCACCUAGCACUCCUAACAGCCUUACCCGAAAGGGGAGACUGUUCAACAAAGGAAUGGAGAGAGGUUUGAAAAGCAGCUCAGUGGUAGAGCAUUGACCAGCAUGUGCAAAACCAAGGAAGGGCUCAAGCCCCAGCACUGCAAGACCAAAGAAUGGGUUGGUGUGAAAU
Molecule: long non-coding RNA, 400 nt
Organism: Apodemus sylvaticus (European woodmouse)
Lineage: Eukaryota; Metazoa; Chordata; Mammalia; Rodentia; Muridae
Exons: 3
Source: RefSeq, a predicted model, not a curated record